Molecule: long non-coding RNA, 375 nt
Organism: Polyodon spathula (Mississippi paddlefish)
Lineage: Eukaryota; Metazoa; Chordata; Actinopteri; Acipenseriformes; Polyodontidae
Exons: 3
Source: RefSeq, a predicted model, not a curated record
AGCCUGGUCAGAAAAACUGCAAGGACAGUGACAGUGAAAGUGCCAGUGGAGACUCGAAAAAAUCACUCCGGGGCAGUCCUCACGAGAGGCUUAGUGACAGCUCCGCUCCUUCCGGGUUGUGUACAGGCUACUUUUGUGACACUGAGAGCGACCAAGACGAGAAGGUAGGAUCUUAUAUUUCAAAAUUAUUUAAGAUACUAGCAGAUAUCAUAAAUGUAGGUAUGGAUGUUGGUAUAUAUGCUUCCAUUGUAAAAACGAGACACUUGGCAACUCUGAAUCGGAUUAGCUUUCAUCUUGGUGUUUUUAGAUAAGGGCACCAGUUGCUGGGAAUUGAUGCGCUGGCAGAAGGGGGCUAUGCAUCUCAGAUUUCACACA